Molecule: long non-coding RNA, 277 nt
Organism: Mastomys coucha (southern multimammate mouse)
Lineage: Eukaryota; Metazoa; Chordata; Mammalia; Rodentia; Muridae
Exons: 3
Source: RefSeq, a predicted model, not a curated record
CCUAAUGAUAAAUCACGUUGAUCUCCAUCAAUUGUGACUGGAUUUCAUCAGCCAGGGAGGCACCCUAGUGUACAGAGGAAGACGGAUAACUCUAGAAGCCCUGGAAGUUGUGCCAACAAUGUGUCUCCUGAUCAGACUUGAACCUAACAGAAGGACAUGGGACUUGGAAAGCCCUUGGAGGAAAUGAGAACAUCCUAUUACCUGAAUUAUAUGGUGUAAUAGACAGCCAUCUACAGUGGGGUCUCACUGUCAUGAAGCGCUGGCUGACCUGGAACUC